UCAGUUCGGAUCGGAGUCUGCAACCCGACUCCGUGAAGCUGGAUUCGCUAGUAAUCGCGCAUCAGCCAUGGCGCGGUGAAUACGUUCCCGGGCCUUGUACACACCGCCCGUCAAGCCAUGGGAGCCGGGAGCGCUUGAAGUGCGUCGCCGCGAGGCGCGCCCUAGAGCGAGACCGGUGACGUGGGGCUAAGUCGUAACAAGGUAAC
RNAcentral lists this ribosomal RNA (206 nucleotides) under uncultured bacterium. RNAcentral's name for it is "partial 16S ribosomal RNA". It matches the Rfam family "Bacterial small subunit ribosomal RNA", at positions 1288 to 1500 of the family's 1533-position model. The record is from RNAcentral.